RNAcentral lists this transfer RNA (634 nucleotides) under Nunduva komarkovae C1088-K118.1. RNAcentral's name for it is "Nunduva komarkovae C1088-K118 16S-23S ribosomal RNA intergenic spacer". The stretch from base 332 to 404 matches the Rfam family "tRNA". The record is from RNAcentral. Lineage: Bacteria; Bacillati; Cyanobacteriota; Cyanophyceae; Nostocales; Rivulariaceae.
UUUAGGGAGACCUUACCCAUUCAUACAUCUUCCGAUUGUUAUAGAUAAUGAUUGUGGUCAUCCCAAGGUCGUGCGUGGACUAGGUAAUGCUCAAGGCUUUCAAACAAUUAUAGGUUCGGUAAUUAAUUAGUUAAUUAUUAUGGUUAAUUAGUUAAUUGAUUAUCACUUAUGGGCUAUUAGCUCAGGUGGUUAGAGCGCACCCCUGAUAAGGGUGAGGUCCCUGGUUCGAGUCCRGGAUGGCCCACCUGAACAAAAGUUAGGAGUUAAUAGUUAAGAGUUAGGAGUAAAAGCAAUUCAUAACUCAUCACUCAUGACUCAUAACUAAAUGUUGGGGGGUAUAGCUCAGUUGGUAGAGCGCUGCCUUUGCAAGGCAGAUGUCAGCGGUUCGAGUCCGCUUACCUCCACCAAAUUUUUGUGAUUAAAUCAUUAAUAAGUAAAUAGGAAAUUCUUCAGCACCCAUACUUUAUAUGUAAAAAGUUGGAAUGCUGGAUUUUUGUUCCAGUCAGAACCUUGAAAACUGCAUAUUGAAGCGAAAUGAUUUUUAGGUAGUGUUUAAUUACUGAUGUUAAUUAAACGUUGUAUCUAGAUAUCCUAUUUUGUUAAAAAGCCAAUGAUUGAAUUGGAAAAUCUUUGU